CGACCUUCCUUCCCCUCCAACGCCAAUCCACGGACCUUGGAGCAUUGCAUUGAACAUGUAUAUUUUACGUUAUAUCAAAGCAUCGCUAUCGUGACUGAGAAAUUUAAAUAUUUCGUAAACUUUUUGCGUCAAAAUUGUGUCGUGAAUAAACGCGAAGCUAUACAUAUGUUGCGCAAAUCUUAUGAUAAGAGUUCGCAGAUCGAGUGUGAAUUAAUUGCUUAUGCUAUUGAUAUUAUUGUACACGAUGCAUUGUACACUGAAUAAAAUAAAUGCAUUUAAACAUACGCUCAGAAAUUACUUUCUCUCAUCAUUUCCACAUUAUAAAACGGUGGUCUCGCGUCAAGUGACGUCAGGCUUCUCUAUCGAGAGACAGUAUAUAAUAUAAAAUAUAAUAUAAAAAAAAGAUAGAUACUUUUCGGAACGAGGAGUGACAAACGGUGGUGAGUUGUGCUGGCAACGAUAUUGUAUACAUUAGCCAGCAUACAGUUGCGGCGUAUGUUUCAUCUUAUUCUUUGACCGUCAUACAAUACUUUUGAGAUUAGACGCAACUGUAAAUAUGCACUGCGACGGAAGAUGCUCUCGCACAGCCCUUUGCUUUUCAGUCUUGAUCGCGCUCUCGCUUCAAUACUAUCGGGAGUGAUAAGUGAGUUAAAAAUGAAUUCAGAACUCUGCAAUGAACUUGAGUUGAUGCAGGAUUACCUGCACAGAGUUCUUUGUCUUCUCCCCGUCCAUACAUUGGACAGAAUUAUCGCUGCCGCGGAAUCCGUCCUUCACGGACAUCCUCCUCCUCAAGACGAUAUAUAUAUUAGAAAUUUAUUUAACAUUUUCACCUUACUCCCAUCAUUUAUUGUGAUGAUGUUUUGGGACAUAUCCCGACGCAUCUUGAUAGAGGAUGCGGAGGAAGCCCAACAGAUCCGGGUAGAAAAUGUGGUGCGAGAAGAGGAGGAGGAGGAGGAAGUGGUGAUGGUAGAAGUGGAGGAAGAAGUAGACAUGAUGGAGGAGGGGGAUGACAAUCCAAUAUUUUUUCUAUCCUCUUCCCCCCGAGGACGAGGACGAGGACGAGGACAAGGACGAAGCCGCGGAGGAAGCCGCGGACGGGGAAGUCGGGGACGGGGACAACAAUGACAAUAGUGGUGGUGGUGGUGGUGGUGGUGGUGGUGGUGGUGGUUGUGGUGGUGGUGGCGGCGGCGGUAGUGGCGGCAGUGUUGGUAAAAAGGCAACGGUGACGAUAUAUAUUGCAUUAAUCAGCAUACAGUUGCGUCUACUCUCAAAAAGUAUUGAAUGACGGUCAAAGAUUAAGAUGAAACGUACGCCGCAAUUGUAAAUACGCGCUGCGACGGAGGACUCUCUCGCAGCCCUUUGUUCCUCAGUCGUAGCCGUGCUCUCAAUCCGUGAGGUACUUCGCCGCAAGUGAGUGAUCUUAAGUGCGUAAUAGAAAGUAAUAAUAAUAAAUAUGGAAUUUGGAGAAGAAUCAAUGCAGGAGUACCUGCACAAUCUCUUCUCCCGCUUCCCCAACGAUAUUCUACGCGAAGUGCUUGAAACAACACGAGCUGUCCUAAACGGACAUCCCCCUCCUCCUCCUCCUCCUGUAUACAACGAGGAAAGCGAGGAAGAAGAGGAAGCUGAAGAAGAGGAAGCUGAAGAAGAAGAGGAAGGAGCCCAACUUUACGCUAAUAACCUCUACGAGAUUUUCUCUAUUCUACCAGAUUUUAUAUUAAUACAUAUAAUUUCAACGGUACAACUCAUCCUCCACGAGGAGGAGGGGGAAGAGGACUAUUAGUGGUGGUGGCGGGAAGGAGGACAAAGACGAAAGACGAAAGACAUAAUUAGUGGUGGUGGUGGUGGAGUGGUGGUGGAGUGGUGAUGGGGUGGUGGUGGUGGCGGCGGGGUAGUGGCGGCGGCAGCGGCAGAAAGGUGACGGCGGGCCGCUGCGCUAUCGAUGGGGGUGGAGGCAAGUGAAGAAGGUGAGUCUCAAAAAUAUUUUUAUAUAUAUCCUUUGUCUCGCGCGGCGGCGGCGGCGGCGACAAAAGACAGUUCCGCGAAUAAUCACCGCGAAUUUCAAGGGUGACGUCAGGCCCGCGAUAUUGCCCUGCGGUGACGUCAGGCCCGCGAAUUAUAUAUAUUAUGUCGGUUCUAACUCGGAAGCAAUGAGGGUCCCCCCCCCAUCCCCCCCUAUCUACUUACAUAAACAAAUAACGGUUAUUACUAUCUACAUAAAUAGAUAACGGUUAUCACUGUUUAUGUAAACAGAUAAGGGUAAGUCCCGCCGCACCUACAUUUUCCCCCGCGCACCUCAUCCCCCCUCGUUACUCCGUAGUUAGAACCGGCAUAGUCAUACUACUUAUAUAUAAUUAUAUACCAAAUCUUGCAUUAUUACAUAUCAUUGUAUAUAAUUAUAUAUAUUUUAUUAUAUAUGGCCAUAUUUGAUCUAUAUAUAAUUAUGUAUAAUCAUAUAUAAAAAAUUGUUUCCCGGGUAAUGCUAAAAAUUUGAAUAUUUCAUAAUUGCAUGUACUCAUUUCGUUUACGUAAAAUCAGUAGCGUAAACCAUGAAGUCUUAUUACAAACUUUAUUGACAAUUUAAUUGUUAUAUUUUUUCACAUUAUUUAUGUAUACAAUGCAACUAAAAUAUUAUUGUAAUAAAAUUGUUAUUUCAGUUGUACACAGCAUCCAAAGCGACCUAUAAAACCGCCCAGACGGUACAAACGCACCUCAAGUGACUCUAACAAAUAUAAAAGAUCUAAAAAAUGUGAUGAACAGUCUAUGGAACAAAUGCUAAGCCAUGAUAUAAAAAAAUCGUCGAUAUAAAAAAAAAUGCAAACCAACGACACAGCAAGGGAUUCGGAAAAUUCUGAAUCCUGUUCUUCCGAAACAGAAUCGUUGGGUUCGGAUAAAGGACAAGGUUCUUCCAAACCUGGUGUUCAUUCCGCUUGCGAAAAGCAUACAACUUUAGCUCCGUCAAAUGUUAAGGUGGACAAAGAACGAUUUCAUUACGCUCCUCUACAAACGUUUCAACCAAAUGCUGUCCCAUCUACAUCAUGGAAAUUCUUUCAUGCAAGCUCAGCCAGGAACUGUUUUGCCAGUGAUCGCAACAUCGACAACGAGCUACCUGCCAUCCCAGUCUUAUGAAACACCAGCCUACGGUCCAAUGGUCUUAAGCAGCCAGUCUAAUGAAACGCCAACCAAUGUUCCAAUAACCUUCAGUAAUCGUACUGAAAAAAAUAUACAAGUUUCCGAAAAUCUACCAGUCAGCGAAUCAAUAAAAAAUAAUGCUUUGAGAAGAAACACAUUCAAUAUGGCAGUACAGGAAGGAUGCAUAAAUAAAAUUGAAUGCACGCUUUGACCAAGUAGACCGACAAUUGCAAAAAUUAAACAAUAUUAUUUCACGCCACAUAGAGCACCGAAUGCCAAUAAAGCCGCAAAUUCUACCAUUUCAGUCGAUCGAAGCGUUUCAAGAGUUCGAAAAUAAUGAAAAUGUUUUUAAUGAGAUCGUUGCCUACUUUAAAUGGUUAGGCGGAUAUACGCUAAAGGAUUGUGUGCAUUAUUGCAUGACCGAGAGUCUUUCUAAAGAAAUUAGUGAACAUUUUACGUGGUGGGAAAAUGAAAAGAAGAAAAAGCUAUCACUAUAUAAAAGCAAGUUUAUUCAAGCAAUAUACAAAGCAGUGUUACAAAAUUCAAGUUUUCCAUCACCAACUCGAAAUUUGUUACAAGAAAAUGUUUCAGAAUCUCUUCGGGUAAUUAAGCAAAAAAAAAGAAACAUGUUCAGAGAGGAGAAUCCGGAGAAUAUCGGUAAUCGCAAACGUCUUGAAAACGAAGCAGACGAUUUAUAUAACGCAGACAAUGUCUGCGUUAUAUAAAUCGUCUGCUUCGUUUUCAUUGUAUACUUUGUACAAUAACACUUUUUUAUGUUGUUAAAUAUACAGGGUGUCAGGUAACUAUCGCCCGUGGUUUCGUGGAUUGAUACCCAGCCAGAAAUGAUUAGUCGAAUCGACGUCGAUUCGACGUCGAUGCGUCGAUAAAUGGUCGAAAACUAGUCAAUAUUUUUAUCAUUUUCUACUUUGUCAUAAAAAUUGUUUAUUGAGUAAUUGCGAAUAUUUUUGUAAAAUUUCUAUUAACUUUGUAACAACCCGUUUUUCUUGGAUAGAUAUCGCGCACGGACGUAGCUCGUCGGGAAUUCCAGGGCACGAUCCGGGUUAAGAGAGAAUUAGACUUGUGUGUUUGAACGUGUAAACUAUGUACAAGUUUUAUUGAGUGAAGGGACGAAUACAAUUGUCUUAAAGCUAGUAUUUACAGAGGGUGCGUCACCGCCGAUACGUCGUCGGCCGUAUCGCGCGCGGGGUGACGGCUAUCUUGAUCGCGGCAAUCGGGAAUACCGUCGGGCAACGGUUUCGGCGCGGGGAACGUCGUCGGCGCGGUUGCCGCUUAUUCACACGGCAGGUGCGUUGUUUACGCGGUCGGCGUUCUUUUCGGUGCGCCGGCGGCCUC
This is a long non-coding RNA of Solenopsis invicta (red fire ant), 4482 nucleotides long. RefSeq lists it as uncharacterized. The transcript has 6 exons. NCBI's taxonomy places the organism in Eukaryota, Metazoa, Arthropoda, Insecta, Hymenoptera, Formicidae. The record is from RefSeq and is a predicted model, not a curated record.